RNAcentral lists this ribosomal RNA (234 nucleotides) under uncultured bacterium. RNAcentral's name for it is "partial 16S ribosomal RNA". It matches the Rfam family "Bacterial small subunit ribosomal RNA", at positions 99 to 334 of the family's 1533-position model. The record is from RNAcentral.
CGAACGGGUGAGUAAGACAUCGGAACGUAUCCGCUCGUGGGGGACAACUUCCCGAAAGGGGGGCUAAUACCGCAUGAGAUCCGAGGAUGAAAGAGGGGGACCCGCGAGGGCCUCUCGCGAGCGGAGCGGCCGAUGACUGAUUAGCUAGUUGGUAAGGUAAAGGCUUACCAAGGCGACGAUCAGUAGCUGGUCUGAGAGGACGACCAGCCACACUGGGACUGAGACACGGCCCAG